Molecule: unclassified non-coding RNA, 2363 nt
Filed under: Hevea brasiliensis (rubber tree)
Lineage: Eukaryota; Viridiplantae; Streptophyta; Magnoliopsida; Malpighiales; Euphorbiaceae
Source: RNAcentral
AUAGAAAUAUUUAUGAUGAUCUUAUCUUAAAAAAGAACAAGGAAGAGAUUGUAGAAAGAAAGGAAAGUUUAGGUAAAAUUUUAAGAGAAAAUGCUAUAGAAAUAAUAGUUAGAAGGCUUUAACACACCGAGAAUGAAAAAAACUAAAGAAAACACAGCAUCCAUGUGUUUUUUUAUCAAUUAAAUUAGUGAGACAAUGGUCGUUACCAUUAUUUAACGAUAAAUAACAACCGUUCCCAUUAUGUAACAGUGGUAAUGCCUAUUACCAAUACAAUUCAGCAUCUGUCUUUAAAUAACAAGGUAAAGGGUAACUACCCCUUGAAAAACCUGUAAAUAACGGCCGUUUAAAACCAUUAUAUUGAUAUUUAGUAGCCAAUUAAAUUUAGUCCUUCAUUGUCAAGAUACCAAAUUAUCAUGACCGUAUUUUACUUAUAAAUAACAUUGUCCACAUUUUAAAAUUUUUUUAUACGUUUAGUUUAUUACUCUAAAUAAAAGACUAUUUUUUAAACUAUCCUCUUUAUUUCUACUAUUUACAUAAUUUAAAAUUUUUUUUACUAUACAAUAAUGAAAUAAAAGGGAAUCAAAGUAAAGAAAUUAAUGAUAGUGAAUCUGGAAGAAUUAAUCAUAAUUCCUUUUUUUUGUACACAUAAUAAUAAAAAGCUUUCAGGCCAGCAAAGAAGGAAAAAAUUGAUUGUCAUAGGGAACGACGACGUUUCAGAAGCCAAAGUAAGGUAUGAUAAUAGUGCUCACAUUCUGUUUUGGUUGCUAAAGCACGAGAAGCGAAAGUGCGGUGUUUUUGAUAAGCAAAAACUUCUGCUAUUGCAAGUUAACCAUUCGAUGAAAUGUCUAGCCUUUUUUUCUUUAUUAGUGGUAAUAAGAUAAUUAUUAUAAUUAAAAUUUGAAUAGUAUUAGAAUUUGUAAUAUUGUAGUCUUUAAAAAAAAAUUGCAACAUUGUAAAUAAUACAAAAUAAUUAUGUCCUUUUUUAUUCAUUUCAUCAUUCCUCUCUUCUUCCCACUUUUAUGUAGACCAAUAUUAUUUACGUGCAUUGCACGUUGUACGUAUUCAUAAUUUAAUUUUCUUUAUAUGCAAUUUCAGAAAAAAUUUUAUGCUAAUUAAUAAUAAACCUUAAAAUUAAUAAAAACAUAUCAAAGGCACCAUGAAAUAUUACCUCAACAAAAAGAUGGCGAAAAUCAAUAGCCUUUAUUUCCACAAUAGAAAAACUCUAUCCAAGCAAAAGCAACUAACUCAAUACUUCCAUAACAUACUAUUUUUAAGCUCAAUUUUAUAUACAACUUUAAAUAUUCAUAUUAUUCAUUAAGUAAUACAUUUACAAAUUGUAAUACACGGUAACAUAAAGCAUUUAAGUAAAUUAGAAAAAACUUUUAAUAGGAUUCUUAUUUUACUUAACAUAUAUUGAUUAAUUUAAUUUUCAAAAAUUACAAAAAAAAUUCCUAAUAGAAAUCAUAUUCGUUAAUAAUAUAGGAUUUGAAUUUACGUAGGAAACCAAUCUAACCAAUUAAAUUAAAGAUUUUUUUAAAUAAUAAUCGAUUCCACUGUUACUUUUCAGCUAAUCAAAAUAGAGGAUAAUUUGUAGUUUAAGGCAUCACUAAUAAUUAUCAAAAUUCUUCAUUUCCUAUACAACCAUGUAGUACUAAUUAUUGAGUUAAUAAUGCUUAAUACGAAACUCUAACAUCAAUUUUAAUAUAUGAAAUUGCAGACUGUUAGUUUAAUGAGAUAUUUCUAAUAAUCUUUUUCCCCCCGCUUUGUCUCAUUCCUUCCAUAUCUAAAAAAGAAACUCACUUCAUUAUUGCUUUUUCUCUUGUUGGAUUCAAAUCCUUAAUGCCAACAAAUAAAUAAAUAUAACCACUACCAGAUAGUAGCUAGUAGGUUUUUCAACCUAGAUGACUCGUUCCAAUUAAGAUGUUUUAUUUGUAUCACAUUCAAUCUAACACUACCACGAAUAACAAUCGUUAGGUAAGGUUUUUCGGCUUAACGUUACCACCAUUAUUUAAUGGAUUUUUAAAUUUGUAACUGUAAAGGCCAUUACAAUCAUUAUUUAAAGGUAACAGCUGUUACCGUCCGUUAAGUAAUAGUCAUAACAGCCAUUACUUUUCCAACUCAGAAUUCUUAGCCUUUUUUUUUUUUUUAACCUUUUCCAUGUGAAAUGCAGUAGAGAGAACUUUUUGUUGGACAAAAAACUAUCUUGGCUCGUUCAUUUUAGCAGCUUUUCAUUUUCUCCCUAGGCAACUAAGCCAUUUUCUCUUAACUUUCUCCACAACCAACUCAAGUGAAAUCAUUCAUUUUUCUACAAAUUUUUAUCUCAAGAACAUGGAUCAUCAAAUAGACAAGGCAGUUUUGAAGUG